This 540-nucleotide ribosomal RNA is filed under the name uncultured bacterium. RNAcentral describes it as "bacterial SSU rRNA". It matches the Rfam family "Archaeal small subunit ribosomal RNA", at positions 459 to 999 of the family's 1478-position model. The record is from RNAcentral. RNAcentral also lists the same sequence under 1 other name.
CAGCAGCCGCGGUAAUACCUGCAGCCCAAGUGGUGGUCGAGUUUAUUGAGUCUAAAACGUUCGUAGCCGGUUCGGUAAAUCUUUGGGUAAAUCGGGGGGCUUAACCUUCCGACUUCCGAGGAGACUGCCGAACUUGGGACCGGGAGAGGCUAGAGGUACUUCUGGGGUAGGGGUAAAAUCCUGUAAUCCUAGAAGGACCACCGGUGGCGAAGGCGUCUAGCUAGAACGGAUCCGACGGUGAGGGACGAAGCCCUGGGUCGCAAACGGGAUUAGAUACCCCGGUAGUCCAGGGUGUAAACGCUGCAGACUUGGUGUUGGGGGCCCUUUGGGGGCAUUCAGUGCCGGAGAGAAGUUGUUAAGUCUGCUACUUGGGGAGUACGUCCGCAAGGAUGAAACUUAAAGGAAUUGGCGGGGGAGCACCGCAACGGGAGGAGCGUGCGGUUUAAUUGGAUUCAACACCGUAAAACUCACCAGGGAAGACUGUUACAUGAAGGCCGAGAUGAAGACUCUGCUAGAUUUUCAGAGAGGAGGUGCAUGGCC